Molecule: microRNA precursor, 57 nt
Filed under: Sarcophilus harrisii (Tasmanian devil)
Lineage: Eukaryota; Metazoa; Chordata; Mammalia; Dasyuromorphia; Dasyuridae
Description: Sha-Novel-18-v2_pre stem-loop
Source: RNAcentral
CUAUAAAGUAAUGAGACUGGUGUUUGUGUGCAGGAUCAGUCUCAUUACUUUAUAGUC